CUAAGGAAUAAUACGGAGGCUACACAUACUUUGUCGAAACAAUGGUCAGUUUUGAGGGGUCUACCCUCAAAGCCUUAUGUGCUGUUUUGGGCGUAUAGCUCAGCUGGUUUAGAGCGCACGCCUGAUAAGCGUGAGGUCGAUGGUUCGAGUCCAUUUAUGCCCAUUGACCGUAAGGUCGAUAUGGGGAAUUAGCUCAGAUGGGAGAGCACCUGCCUUGCAAGCAGGGGGUCAGCGGUUCGAUCCCGCUAUUCUCCAUUGGUGCGAGAGCAUCAAGAUAACUUGUUCUUUGAAAACUAGAUAUUAUCAAUUAUUUUCCUUUAAUUAUUAAAGAUAAUUAAACCGAGAACACCGCGUUUAUUUUGAGUUUUUUAAUUAGUUUUAAAAUUCGCUAAUACUCAAUUAAUCGUUCAUCACGACGUGAUGAAUA
Molecule: transfer RNA, 427 nt
Filed under: Levilactobacillus spicheri
Lineage: Bacteria; Bacillati; Bacillota; Bacilli; Lactobacillales; Lactobacillaceae
Description: Lactobacillus spicheri 16S-23S ribosomal RNA large intergenic spacer
Rfam family: tRNA (bases 89-163)
Source: RNAcentral